This 319-nucleotide ribosomal RNA is filed under the name uncultured eukaryote. Its description in RNAcentral is "partial 18S ribosomal RNA". It matches the Rfam family "Eukaryotic small subunit ribosomal RNA", at positions 1470 to 1796 of the family's 1831-position model. The record is from RNAcentral.
CCCUUAGAUGUUCUGGGCAGCACGCGCGCUACAAUGGUCUUCGCAAACGGAUGCAUUCUCGAAGGAGAAUGCCAAUCUUGGAAUCUAUGCCUUGGUCGGGACAGUUGCUUGCAAUUUUUCGACUCGAACCAGGAAUUCCUUGUAAUCGUGAUUCAUCACAUCACGAUGAAUACGUCCCUGCCCUUUGUACACACCGCCCGUCGCUCCUACCGAUCGAAGAGUUAGGUGAAUUGUUUUGAUCGAUAAGAUUUGACUAUGGUCAACUCUCGUUGUGAAAUUUUGUGAAUCUGACUGUUUAGAGGAAGGAAAAGUCGUAACA